CUACGGGAGGCAGCAGUGGGGAAUUUUGGACAAUGGGGGCAACCCUGAUCCAGCCAUACCGCGUGAGUGAAGAAGGCCUUCGGGUUGUAAAGCUCUUUUGUCAGGGAGGAAAUCCCUGGGGAUAAUACCCCUGGGGGAUGACAGUACCUGAAGAAUAAGGACCGGCUAACUACGUGCCAGCAGCCGCGGUAAUACGUAGGGUCCAAGCGUUAAUCGGAAUUACUGGGCGUAAAGCGUGCGCAGGCGGCUGAUUAAGCCAGAUGUGAAAUCCCCGGGCUCAACCUGGGAACUGCGUUUGGAACUGGUCAGCUAGAGUACGUCAGAGGGGGGUAGAAUUCCACGUGUAGCAGUGAAAUGCGUAGAGAUGUGGAGGAAUACCGAUGGCGAAGGCAGCCUCCUGGGAUGACACUGACGCUCAUGCACGAAAGCGUGGGGAGCAAACAGGAUUAGAAACCCCUGUAGUCC
RNAcentral lists this ribosomal RNA (465 nucleotides) under uncultured bacterium. Its description in RNAcentral is "bacterial SSU rRNA". It matches the Rfam family "Bacterial small subunit ribosomal RNA", at positions 339 to 796 of the family's 1533-position model. The record is from RNAcentral.